RNAcentral lists this long non-coding RNA (869 nucleotides) under Parus major (Great Tit). RNAcentral describes it as "lncRNA (ENSPMJG00000009372.1)". The record is from RNAcentral. Lineage: Eukaryota; Metazoa; Chordata; Aves; Passeriformes; Paridae.
GAUAAAAGUAUAAUAACAAAUCAGCUUCCACUCAUGUAAGCCGAUAGGUAUCUCUCUGCCAAGAAGAAUCUUGCUUUAUGACUUGUGAAUUGAAAUUUGUAUCCUCUCUAAGCACUAUUCUAUCCAAAGAUUAAGCUCUCCCUUUCUGUUGCCCUUUUGGCCUGCAGCUGCUGACAACGACAUGAGAAAUUGGCUGAAGUGCUCGAUGAAGCAGUCAAGCUGGGACUGUGUAUCCAUCUCUUACAUGAGGCUCUUUGCCUAAAGCAUCUAUCACCUCUGUCCAGCUUCUGGAAACUCCUGGGAUAGGAGAGCAAACCAGUCAAGAUCAUGAUGUAUUAAAUGAAGCAUGUAUAAAACCUGGAUGCAGAGACCUCUAUUCAUGUCCAACGCCUUUCCUGGGAAUGGCAGCAGGGGCACUUUAAUAGCAGGAGCUGCAAUCAGGUCUCAGGAUUCAGCAGUUGACCUCUUGCCCAUUUGUCUUUUGCAACAUCCAAGUUUCUCAUGGUCAGCUGAGCCCCAUGGACAACAACUCUGCCGACGUGUACCUGGCAACUGUGGGGAGUCACAAAGGCUCUGUGGUGAGACAGCUUGCUUACUGCAUGUGCCAGGAGAAGCAGCCAUGAUUCCUGACAUCUUGCACUGGGAGGAGUAAGAGGCCAGCUCCCCAGAGCUGGAAUGGGAGGAAGGACAUUGCCAAAGAGUGGCUUUUUCCCUGCUGGGAAGGAAAUUCCAACCAUUUUUUAUGGUGAGUUGAUUUUUGCACUUCACAAAACGUGACCAUCUUAUCAAGACUAGUAACCUGCAGUUAAUGCACCUACUUGUGUGUUCAAGAGAAUAAAUUCACUCAAGUCAGAAUUUUGACUGUAAAC